UUGUAUUUAUAUUUUAGCUGGCGUAGAGCGAUACAGUUGUGUCUUUGAGGACUGCAGUUUAUGCUCAAUUUUCACGUUUAAAAAUGGCUAACCAACAGGUAACAAAAUGUUCUUGUUAACGACAUAUUAUGCUGAUAAAUAACGAAUUCAUAAUGCAGUAGACUACGUACCACUUACAAGUCUAUCGUAAGUCUACUAUUUUCGCUUUUGAGAUCAGUCGUCAUUUCAUUAUUAUAUUUCUUAGUAUUUCAGAUAUACUACCAUCAAGUCCAUUCUUUAAAUUAAGCCUGGUUCACAUAUAUGCCUCUACUUGCCGCCGAAAUACCGGCAAAGUUGACCUCAAGUCAACUCAACUUUCCCGGCCAACCGCCGAUGUAUCUGUGGCACUGGAGGCAAUCGGCGAACAAAUGUUCACAUAAUUUACGUUUUAAAGCUACCAACCGGCAUAUGUGAACCAAGGCUUUAGACUGCAGUAUUUACUUUUUGUCUAAGGUAAUGUUUGUGUGACCAAUGAUAGUAUGUUUCGAAUUCUGUGAUCAGGAAGAGCUUUAGGUCAGAGUGAUGAAACAUCUUAGGAAAAAUAGUCUCGAAUACAGUAGAAUAAUUUGUUAUGUAUAUAGGCUAUAGCUUUAAUUUCUCAUUCUCCUUGUAAAUAUUGUAAAUAAUUCAAAUGUCACGGCGUCUGGGAAGAUCAUCUUAUUUUCGAUGAGAGGCCUCCGUGGCUAAAUAAGUUCACUAUUCACUAAGAUACUAUUCUUAAGCUUCUAUCCGUGUCUGAGUCACAUCGGCAGUACACAGUACAAUGAUAUUUCAAUGUUUUUUAAAUGUGAUUUUCUUGGCAAUUAAGGGACCAUUCAUUAUUUAUGACCGGGAGUGGGUUGGCAAAAUUCAAUUAACAACUAAACAAAAUGUCCUGCCCCACCCCCUGGAUCACAAAAAAAUUCAAUGACCCCCUUCACAUGAAUUCUAAAAAAUAGUAAACCCACCACCACCACCGCCGCCACCGCCGCCACCACCACCACCACCACCAACAACAACAACAACAACAACAACAACAACAACAACAACAACAACAACAACAACAACAACAACAACAACAACAACAACAAACAACAACAACAACAACAACAACAACAACAACAACAACAACAACAACAACAACAACAACAACAACAACAACAACAACAACAACAACAACAACAACAACAACAACAACAACAACAACAACAACAACAACAACAACAACAACAACAACAACAACAACAACAGCAACAACAAUAUUGUAAUAAAUGUACAGUACUGUAUAGAAAUAAGCUCUUUAAACUUGUUGUAAAAGGCAUCAGAUCUUUCAUUUACUUGCGAUUUUAACAAUUAAUAUGCAUGCCUAUUUAACCCAUUAAGCUGCAGAGUUUCUUGUUGACGACUGGCGUUAAACAAGCAAAAAAAUAAGUAGGGUGCACUGGGGCGCAAUGGGUUAACUAAAGACAUGUCAGAUUUUUUGGUUAACCCAUUAAGCUGCAGAGCGCCGAAGAGGCUAAAGCUGGGGGUCAUACCAUUUUUCGCUACUAAGAGUGUAGUAAAAAGUUGCUCAAAAAGGAAAAAGUUGCUUGAAGUUGCUCGAGCCGAAAAAAGUGCUCCAAACGCAAAAAGUUGCUCAAAAGUUGCCGAGCACAAUCGGGACAUGCCUAGCAGAGCUUCCCCGUUGACGAGUGAAAUCGGUUAGGAGUAUAGGGUUAAGGUUAGGAAUAGGGUUAGGGUACUACGUCAAUGAACUACAAAUACCUCUAAACAGCUAGUGACUCGGAUAUUUGACUCGGACUUGACAUGGUAAACCGACUAAAUUAAACCAUGUAUCUGAAAUACCUAGUAUAAACUAGUGUACAUAGCAUAUGCGAAACGUUCCGUAAACGUAACGUUGCUACAUCACUUACUCGUUAAUUAUCUUUUUUAUUAAAAUGUACAUAAUUGAAAUAUGACAAAAAUUUAUUGGCAAGUUCAUGUAAAAAAUUAUAAGGUAGAUGUUUGAUUAUUUUUCAUAUUAGCUGCGUGCAUUGCAUUUUGGGUAUUUGUGCAUUGCAUUUUGGGUCUAUCUGUUGAUUAAAAUUGAGAAUUUUGCUAGCUAUACAUGAAUUAAAUUUGCUGCCUUGCUCGCUCCCUGUGGUAACAAUAAUCAUUACAUGUCAAAUUUUUCUCCACUAUAAUACCACUAUAAUAAAUAACUGGACCCCCACCCCCCUCCCUUUUGAACCAAUAUUUUUAGGUGGCCGCCCUUUUCGGUCAAAAAUACCUCAUGACCCACCCCCUUUUUUUGCCAGCCCACCCCCCGUCAUAAAAAUGAAUGGUCCCUAAGUAUUCACACCCUGGCCCUUGGGUCAGUUGUAGUAUACAGCCAACCUCGUACCCAGGGCUAGUCGCGAAUUGAAGUCGACGCUGCCUUCAAUUCGUGACUAGCCCUGGGUACGAGGUUGGUAUACAGCUGGUCAGCUAUUAAUUACUAGUUAAUUUGGAAAAAUCUUGAAUAUCUCAAAAAGUUUAUGCCUUAUGGAAUGUGGGAAGUUAUAACUAUAAGCUUGACGGGCUAUAAAUCGCUUACAUUGCAUUGUAAAUGAUGGCAUUUUUGUCCUCGUUGGCUACUUGGAACCGGAGGACGAGAUGAGGUGCAACAAAAUUUUCCGUCUUUAAAGGAAGAUAUUCUUAGGAGCCGGCCGCCAGCGAUAAAGACUAAAAUCAAGGGCAGGGUGGGGGGCUAUAGAUUCAGUUCUAUUAUGUCUUGAAAAAACGGUGAGCUUUUUCCAUCGCCAGGUAGUUCAAGUAUGCUAAUUUGCUCAGUGGCGAUUUUAGCUCCAUCAAGUCAUCUAGACUGAUUAAAACCAAUUAUAAUGUGAUUGUUUGCAGCACCCCCAAAACAAAUGCCACUGAAUCAUUAUAUGACACGCCUCCAAGCGAAAAGAGAGCAAGACCAACCUUGCUUUCCAGUGCGCGGGAAGACAGGCGAGAUGGACAAGACGCGGUAAGAACAAGAGAUUGUUUUUUUUGUGAUAUUUAAUUUUUAGGGAUUUCAUCAUGAAUAUUAGCGAGAUGAAAAAAUAUCUUUCUGAAAACCUCGAAUGUCCCAAUAUUACUUCUACAACUGCACGAGACGCCGUCCAAUGAAUACUUAUUCCGCUUGGCUAUUGACAUCCGGGAAGGACAAGAAUGUGAGGAAUCAAUGGUCACCGAGUAAUCGAAUAUAGUCAUCACUGACCUAAAAAUGUGCUAGAUGAUCUGGAACGGAGUGCGCUAUAUUAAUAUAGAAUGACUUAUUUUCUUACUUCCUAUACUAUUUUUAUCCACAUUUAAUUGACCAAAUCUUAUUCGAUUUGUACUUGGCAAUGUUUACUUAGAUUAGUCCCGCAAGAUAUUAACUGUCAGUAUUGUGUUCAUAGAUACUUGAAAUCGAAGGCAAGCCAGCAGUAACACAUAAGCUCAUAAAUGGCUACAUUGAGCAUUGCAAAAAAGGCUGUGACAACUGCAGACAUAUGAUGCAGAUGGUACGUUUGAUUGUCACGGAGGCCAAAGAAUGUGUCGUAAGGAUUUCGAGAUCAUGUGCUAUGCUGAGCAUUUUUCUGUGGGAUUUUGGUCUGGUGCUCGCCAAAACAAAUUUGUUGUCCAAGUGGUUGCAGGAAAAAUACAUGUAAGUGUAACUGAUGAAAGUUGGCGAAUGUGGUUUCAGAGAGUUGUUUCAGAAUCUUGGUAUAUGUUCAAGGAUGUGGCUCUACAUAUUCUGGAUAAAGCUGCUGAUAUGCUUAACGCAAUCGGCGGACCGCAAGGAGCUAUUGCCGGUGCUGCUCUCAGAGCUAUUGCUUGGUAACUGAACAUAAAAUAGCUAUUAAGAAUAUCAAGCAUGAAGAGCAAAGAAAAACAAACUAUAUGAACAAUGUAAUGCGUUGUAUGAUACUGUAAGGGACGGACCAUUAGAAAAGUGAUGGGGAGGGUGGGGAAAAAACAGAAAAAAAAUCCAUGCAAACAAAAAAGGUUUGAAAAAAAAUACAUGCAAACAGACUUGUUUAAAAAAAAAUUACAAGCAGAACAACAAUAGAACUCUAACGUACGUCAGACAAAAUUGAACUAAAUCUUUGGAAUAUUUCAGAAUAUAAAUAUAUCAAAAUAUAUAAUAUAUUAAUAUGCAAUUUCUUUCAAUAUUAACAGUAACUCUUAUGUAGUUUUAUUAUAUACUAUCAAAAUAUUUUCUAUUGUAUUUAAUAAAAAUUUUCCGGGUGAGCAUAAAACUUGUCCAUAUAUGGCGCUUAAAGAUAUAAUUUUGCAGUGUGUAUUAAAGGGAUAUUUUUUUGUCAAGAGAACAGUUUCGUUAACAUUUGUAUAGUUGUAUUGGAAAAAAAAAUGCAUGCGAGAAGACAUAUUUAAAAAUAAACAUGCAUACACAGCUGACAAACCUGGAAAAAAAUGCAAACAAAAAAAAUUUACCC
Non-coding RNA from Paramuricea clavata, 4466 nucleotides. Lineage: Eukaryota; Metazoa; Cnidaria; Anthozoa; Malacalcyonacea; Plexauridae. The record is from the annotation of a GenBank genome assembly.